GCCCUUGUGGCAUAAUGGUUAAGCACUCAGCUGCUAACUGAAAGGUUGGAGGUUCAAACCCAUCUAGCGGCU
RNAcentral lists this transfer RNA (72 nucleotides) under Loxodonta africana (African savanna elephant). It matches the Rfam family "tRNA". Rfam says of the family: Transfer RNA (tRNA) molecules are approximately 80 nucleotides in length. Their secondary structure includes four short double-helical elements and three loops (D, anti-codon, and T loops). Further hydrogen bonds mediate the characteristic L-shaped molecular structure. tRNAs have two regions of fundamental functional importance: the anti-codon, which is responsible for specific mRNA codon recognition, and the 3' end, to which the tRNAs corresponding amino acid is attached (by aminoacyl-tRNA synthetases). tRNAs cope with the degeneracy of the genetic code in two manners: having more than one tRNA (with a specific anti-codon) for a particular amino acid; and 'wobble' base-pairing, i.e. permitting non-standard base-pairing at the 3rd anti-codon position. The record is from Rfam by way of RNAcentral. Lineage: Eukaryota; Metazoa; Chordata; Mammalia; Proboscidea; Elephantidae.